CUCUGUUUGAACUUUGUAUUGGCUAAAUCAAACUCCUAGGCGUAUGCAAAAGUCUAAUCAUGUUGGAGCCUCAAAAUAAAUUCCAAACUUUUUUCAUAUUUGCAAUAUUGAUCAUUUAACUCCUCUGAUUAAAAUCUUUCAACUUUGGUGUCAACAUUAAUCUCAUCUCCUAGGCAAGCUCUGCAGGUUGAAAUUGGUACUCCCCCAAGGCAGAGAGGCAAAACGUUUGCGCAUGAUUGUUAAAUUGGUGGCCGUGACUUUUGUUUUACAAUUUCCAGUGUUUCCUUCUUGCUUGUAAUAUGAAUCCCAAAGCCAUUAUUCAUAAAUAUAUUUUAUCAUGUUUUUCUGCACACUUAUCUUCCACAAGCAAAAAUCUCAUCAUCACAUUUCUUAAAACCCUUUGGCAAAAAUCCAGACUCCUUAGCAUGAUAUAAAACUUUGAUCCUGACAUCUCUCAAAAUAAAGUCCAGAUUUCUUCCCAGGAAACUCAAAUUAUGAAACUCUCGCUUAAAAUCUCAAUGUGUUUUCAUCACUACAAAAAGCCUCACCAUCUUAGCAAGGCACCCACUUUUAAUCAUGGCAGUCCCAGCUUCAAACCUGUCAAGUUCCAUGUCUACAACAUCAAAUCCAAAUGCCUGAGCAUGAAAUGAAAAGGGGACCAAGUAUUUCUCACGUUGAAAAUCGUUAGAUUGCUCUUCUUAAACCAUAAAGCUUAAGUUCCUUUCGCACAAAACCAAAACUUUUUCACCAUCUACAGUUUCCCACUUUCAUUUCCUGUUCCUCAUGCUUCCCUCUGAAAAGACUGAGUUUCCCAUUCUCCAGCCUCCAAAAGCAUUUCGAUUUUAUUGUUCCCGGAUGUUAAUUUCUUUCUUUCUCUCAACCAAGUCCCUCUCACGGAAUUCAUUAAUUCAUACAGCAGCAUGUCCUGAUUCUUUUUCUGGGCCAGGCACAGGUUUCGAUCCCCAUGGAGGGAAAUGGAGGCAGACCCACCUUGCAGAUCAUUACCUGGGAGGAGAUGAGGCCCCGCCCUGGAGACGAAUACCCUGCCGGAGACAAAUGAAUCCUUUAACUCUUCUCCUGAGUGCCAGCCCAUCCCGUUCACUGCCCCCGCUCCCCCACUCUGGGGGAGGUCGACCUGGGACCUCCACCCCACGUCUUACCUUGGCUGCAGGCGCUCAAGUGGAUCUCCUCCGGUCCGGUGCGACUCGAACCUCGCCGCUUUCUGAAAAGUUAUUGAACACAUUUGUUUCUUUAAUUAUGUAAGUCCGGUCUUCUUGACAUGCAUACAUUUUCCACAGUGGCAACCACAGUGCACACACAGCCUUCCAGCCUGCUCUGCUUGCCUGCCUCUCUGUUGUGAGCUGCUUUUCUCCAUGUGGCUACCUUGGGGACCCCCGUGAUGAUUCCUGAGUGCUUACUAUAUGCCAAGCGCUCUUUUCAGCGUUUUACAGCUUUUCACUGGUUCAGUCCUUCUGAGAAGCUGUGAGGGCCUUCCUUUCAUGACCCCCAUUUUUCAGAAGAGGAAUCCAAGGCCCUGGCUCAUACAUUCACCCACCUGGGCCCACGCUCACUGAGGCAAGGCCUCAGUCCGGCCAGAGCGUCAGCCUCACUGGCGUCCUCACUGGCCUGGGCCCUGCAUCCCUGCUUCUCAACUCCUGGAAGCCUCCUGCUCUUGGUGGAUAACCAUUUUGCUCUCUAGCAAAUGGAUAGGAACAUUUAUGUGAGUCUGGCUUGGUGGCGUGGCUCACGCCUGUAAUCUUAGCAUGUUGGGAGGCCAAGGUGGGCAGAUCAUUUGAGGUCAGGAGUUUGAGACCAGCCUGGCUAACAGGGUGAAAUUCUCUGUCUACUAAAAAUACAAGAAUUAGCCAGACAUGGUGGCGUGCGCCUGUAAUCACAGCUACUCGGGAGGCUAACGUAGGAGAAUUGCUUGAAUCUGAGAGAGGGAGGCUUCAGUGAGCUGAGAUUGUGCCACUGAACUCCAGCCUGGCCAACAGAGUGAAACUCCAUCUCAAAAAAAAAAAAAAAAAAAAAAAAAAAAGUUUAUGUGAGUCUGACCCGGGCUGUGCUGGACUCUGAAUAAAUCUCUUAGCUGCCUGAGCUGCAACUCCUUCCUCCUGACCCCGCCACCUGCAUGGGCCAUUCUGAGUGGCUGCAUCCCAGGCUGGUCAUCCCAGCCCCGGGGGUUUUUGUCCUGCUCCCUUAUAGUAAUCUGCAGUGGUGACUCCUUUGUCUCAUUCUCCCUUGGCACACAGUAGGGCUGCUGGCAGCAGGCGAGGCCUGGGACAAGGGCUCAGAGAGUUAGGAUGCCCUUUGGCCAUGCCACUAAAUGACCAGUUUCUCUUCUCGCCCUCCCAGGUGGUCUGAAGGGGAGACGGCUGCCUUCUCGUGGGAAGGGAGCAGAUGCCUGGCCCAGGACCCCAUCAA
Long non-coding RNA from Saimiri boliviensis boliviensis (Bolivian squirrel monkey), 2424 nucleotides. Lineage: Eukaryota; Metazoa; Chordata; Mammalia; Primates; Cebidae. The record is from Ensembl.